ACACCUACGGGGGGCAGCAGUGAGGAAUAUUGGUCAAUGGGCGGGAGCCUGAACCAGCCAAGCCGCGUGAGGGAAGAAGGUACAGCGUAUCGUAAACCUCUUUUGUCAGGGAACAAAGGCGGGGACUAGUCCCCGGAUGAGGGUACCUGAAGAAAAAGCAUCGGCUAACUCCGUGCCAGCAGCCGCGGUAAUACGGAGGAUGCGAGCGUUAUCCGGAUUUAUUGGGUUUAAAGGGUGCGUAGGCGGAGUGUCAAGUCAGCGGUAAAAUUUCGGGGCUCAACCGCGUCGUGCCGUUGAAACUGACG
RNAcentral lists this ribosomal RNA (305 nucleotides) under uncultured bacterium. RNAcentral's name for it is "bacterial SSU rRNA". It matches the Rfam family "Bacterial small subunit ribosomal RNA", at positions 335 to 638 of the family's 1533-position model. The record is from RNAcentral.